AGAGGCUACUGCUAUCAGCGUCCGACUAAGCCAUGCGAGUCGUGGGCACCCCCUCAAGGGGGAGACCCGGCGGACGGCUCAGUAACACGUGGACAACCUACCCUUGGGUCCGGGAUAACCCCGGGAAACUGGGGCUAAUACCGGAUGGGACAUCGCUCGCUGGAAUGCGGGAUGUCCGAAAGCCGAGGCGCCCAAGGAUGGGUCUGCGGCCGAUUAGGUAGUUGUUGAUGUAACGGAUCAACAAGCCUACGAUCGGUACGGGUUGUGAGAGCAAUAGCCCGGAGAUGGGUUCUGAGAAAAGAACCCAGGUCCUACGGGACGCAUCAGGCGCGAAAACUUUACAAUGUGCGAAAGCACGAUAAGGGAACUCUGAGUGCCUCCUAAGGAGGCUGUUCAGGUGCCUAAAAAGCACCUGGAGUAAGGGCUGGGUAAGACCGGUGCCAGCCGCCGCGGUAACACCGGCAGCCCAAGUGGUAGCCACUUUUAUUGGGUCUAAAGCGUCCGUAGCCGGUCGAGUAAGUUCCUUGGGAAAUUUGGCUGCUUAACAGUCAAGCUUCCAGGGAAUACUGCUCGACUUGGGACUGGGAGAGGUCAGAGGUACUCCAGGGGUAGGGGUGAAAUCCGUUAAUCCCUGGGGGACCACCGGUAGCGAAGGCGUCUGACCAGACCAGGUCCGACGGUGAGGGACGAAGGCUAGGGUCGCGAACCGGAUUAGACACCCGGGUAGUCCUAGCAGUAAACGAUGCGGGCUAGGUGUUGGCAUCACUGCGAGUGGUGCCAGUGCCGAAGGGAAGCCGUUAAGCCCGCCAUCUGGGGAGUACGGUCGCAAGGCUGAAACUUAA
Molecule: ribosomal RNA, 842 nt
Filed under: uncultured euryarchaeote
Lineage: Archaea; Methanobacteriati; Methanobacteriota
Description: bacterial SSU rRNA
Rfam family: Archaeal small subunit ribosomal RNA
Source: RNAcentral